This 449-nucleotide ribosomal RNA is filed under the name uncultured bacterium. RNAcentral describes it as "partial 16S ribosomal RNA". It matches the Rfam family "Bacterial small subunit ribosomal RNA", at positions 29 to 523 of the family's 1533-position model. The record is from RNAcentral.
AACGAACGCUGGCGGCAUGCCUAACACAUGCAAGUCGAACGAGAUCUUCGGGUCUAGUGGCGCACGGGUGCGUAACGCGUGGGAAUCUGCCCUUUGGUUCGGAAUAACAGUUGGAAACGACUGCUAAUACCGGAUGAUGACGAAAGUCCAAAGAUUUAUCGCCAGAGGAUGAGCCCGCGUAGGAUUAGCUAGUUGGUGUGGUAAAGGCGCACCAAGGCGACGAUCCUUAGCUGGUCUGAGAGGAUGAUCAGCCACACUGGGACUGAGACACGGCCCAGAAUCCUGCGGGAGGCAGCAGUGGGGAAUAUUGGACAAUGGGCGAAAGCCUGAUCCAGCAAUGCCGCGUGAGUGAUGAAGGCCUUAGGGUUGUAAAGCUCUUUUACCCGGGAUGAUAAUGACAGUACCGGGAGAAUAAGCUCCGGCUAACUCCGUGCCAGCAGCCGCGGUAA